UUUGGCCUGGCUUCUUGCAGUAAAAGGGAGCUGACCUGGAGGUAGCUUAACCAGGGACCGGACUAGUAAUAGUCCCUGUGUUUGAAUUGUAAGCCCAGGUGUACUUUGGGGCCCACUCUAAGAGAGCUUCAUGUCAGGGUUCCCCUAAAAGGAACUGAGAAGGGGUGUUUGCUGGGAGCCUUUGGCUCCUCAUGAAGCUGCUGGUGAUUGGUUGCUAGACUUGCACCUGCAGUGUGGGCUUUUCACAGUGAGGGUGUAACUUGGCCCAGUUGUGACUAGCUUGUUCUUCCUUUUCACUGGGAUUCUGGUGACAAUCAUUUGAACACAGUUGUAUUCCCCUCCACCCCACCCUUGCACCUCAACCAUGGACUGAUUUAGAAAACAAUUCCUGUUCCUUCCUAGGGAUGGUCAGAUGUGCCCCAUUCUGUUCCCGAUUGCAUGAACCAUCUCCUGGGCUGCUGGUUGUUUUCAAGAAGGUAGCUGAAAGUAUUUCUGGAGGAGAUAGCUGCUUCGUCAACAGGCUCCUGGAAGCCCGGAGAAGUAUGAGAGAUGUCCUCUGCCAUUUCACACCGCAGAGACGUAGUGACUUGCAUAUUCCAGGGACUGGUGUAAUCCAGGGACUGUUGUGACUGCCUUUGAUGUCCUUGGUACAGUUCCUCUCUCCUCCUCAUCACCUCACCCAGUAGCUGGUGCGUAGUGGCUGGCAUUCCAACAGUGACUCGUGACUUGAAAAUCAGGCAAAUGACAUUAAAACAUUUGUUUGCUUUUACAAUUAAAUGGAGACAUUAUUACCACAUUCCCUUCCUUCCCUGUUCUGUGGCCUGUAUGCCUAUGGUGUGUGUGUGUGUGUGUGUGUGUGUGUGCAUGCGUGCGUGUGUGUGUAGGCAGACAUGCUGAAAUCAUUCUAAGUAUUUUCUAUGAUAUUAUGCAUUACAUCUGCAUUUUUGGGUACUUUUGACAUUUUUCCCCUAAGCGAUGAAAAGGGCAAGAAGUGUGUGUAUAGGGGAUAGAAAGUUAGCCUAACCUACAAGGAAGUAGAACCCUUUCUGGGACACAAAGGAAUUUAGAUUCUUCUUUGUCUUUUAGAGAGGACUCAGUGUUCCUUUAUAUGUAGGGUCCAAAGCACACAACAAAGAGUCAAGACUUGGUGCUCUUCAGGUCAGACUUGGCUCUGUCUCUGAAGAUUUCCACAAAAC
Molecule: long non-coding RNA, 1196 nt
Filed under: Fukomys damarensis (Damara mole-rat)
Lineage: Eukaryota; Metazoa; Chordata; Mammalia; Rodentia; Bathyergidae
Description: lncRNA (ENSFDAG00000025604.1)
Source: RNAcentral